This 1118-nucleotide long non-coding RNA is filed under the name Trifolium pratense (red clover). RNAcentral's name for it is "long non-coding RNA (TPRA_LNC007382)". Lineage: Eukaryota; Viridiplantae; Streptophyta; Magnoliopsida; Fabales; Fabaceae. The record is from RNAcentral.
UCGAAGAUAAAAAAUAUCCAUGCCUCACGAGUUAAAAUUUCUGAAUCCGGAUAGUAUAUUCAAUUUUUAAUAGGCGAUUGAGUUUUUCGAACAGUUUGCUAGCAAAUCAAAGGAUAUUAAGAAUCUUGCCCGUGCAUUGAUGUCGAAAGAUGCAAUGGAUUUUGUGAUGCAUGCUAGCCUCAUACCAUGGAUCAAAUAAUCCAAAAUUUGUCUAAUAUAACAUGGCCAAUGACAAUACUACUGAUGUACUCUUAUGCUCUCUCGGGGUCGUGAGGAGGUAACCUUAUUUGUACAUUUCUUGGUUGGGUUAAAAUUAAUAAGGUAGCUUAGCUGGAUGUGGUGGUGUCAUUAGCGAUAGUAACGGUGAUUGGCUUGGUGGAUUCGCAAAACAUAUUGAAGGAUGUAGAGCUUUUAUAUAGCGGAAUAUUUAUGAUGUGUUUUGGAGGGGUUGCAAUGUGCUUGGAGAUUGGGGUAUAGAGCAAUGGAAUUAAGCAUCGAUGGCGAUUGCUCAUGUUAUUAACUUUGGUGCGACUAAUAGUGCUAUGGAAAUCUCUUUGGUUAAGAACGUUGGAAGAAUGAUCUCGAUUGGGAAGUUAUAAUUUCUCUUUCGUAUAGUGAAGCGAAUAAAUGCACAAAUGUUUUGGCUAAUAUGAAUAGCUCUUUAAAUUGUAAUAUUAGCUUGUUUGAGAAUUGUCCAGGUCAAAUUAAUCAUGUUUUGUUGGGUGAUAGAGUGGGGAUUUGUUUAAUUGUGAUGUAAUUUUUUUUUUAAGGCUUACACCCUCAUUAUUAUCAACAAAAAAAAUCAAUGUAUUAUUGUGGGCUAUAAUAUGGGGUAUUGUAAAUGCUCCAAAAACAAUUGUUUCUUUAGGUGAUUUUUAUUACACCUAGUAGAUACUGAUGACAAGGAAGAUCCCAAUUCAGUUACUUAGAGUAAUUUUACUAGCUUACUGAUUGCUAUUAGUGUGUUUAACCACUACUUUGGUCUUUGUAUUAGCUUAACCUUAGUUCCUAAACUCCUCUAUAUAUGGAGCUUGUGUAAUCAUAAUUCAACUAAUGGAUCAUUUCAUUCUCAUAAUAAUUUUUCAGUUUGAAACUCACACACAUUCAAAGUGGAAAUG